CAGGUGGGCGGGGCCGAAAAAUGCAAGCCGAGCGGAACAGGGGAGCCUGCUUCCCGCUGACGAGCGGCGGAGGGAGAGGGGCGCGUGAGAAUUGCCCAUAGUGGGGGAUACUCGGGGAAACAUCGAGCUAAUACCGCAUACGUCCUACGGGACAAAGCAGGGGACCUUUUGGCCUUGCGCUGAUGGAUGAGCCUCGCCGUCGGAUUAGCUUGUUGGUGAGGUAAAGGCUCACCAAGGCGACGAUCCGUAGCUGGUCUGAGAGGAUGAUCAGCCACACCGGGACUGAGACACGGCCCGGACUCCUACGGGAGGCAGCAGUGGGGAAUCUUGGACAAUGGGGGCAACCCUGAUCCAGCCAUGCCGCGUGUGUGAAGAAGGCCUUCGGGUUGUAAAGCACUUUCAGUAGGGAGGAAGGCUUUGGGCUAAUACCCUGAAGUACUUGACGUUACCUACAGAAGAAGCACCGGCUAAUUUCGUGCCAGCAGCCGCGGUAAUACGAAAGGUGCAAGCGUUAAUCGGAAUUACUGGGCGUAAAGCGCGCGUAGGCGGUGUGUUAAGUCGGAUGUGAAAGCCCAGGGCUCAACCUUGGAAUUGCAUCCGAUACUGGCACGCUAGAGUGCAGUAGAGGGAGGUGGAAUUUCCGGUGUAGCGGUGAAAUGCGUAGAGAUCGGAAGGAACACCAGUGGCGAAGGCGGCCUCCUGGACUGACACUGACGCUGAGGUGCGAAAGCGUGGGGAGCAAACAGGAUUAGAUACCCUGGUAGUCCACGCCGUAAACGAUGUCUACUAGCCGUCGGGGUCCUUAGUGACUUUGGUGGCGCAGCUAACGCGAUAAGUAGACCGCCCUGGGGGAGUACGGCCGCAAGGGUUAAAACUCAAUGAAAUUGACGGGGGCCCGCACAGCGUGGAGCAUGGUGGUUAAUCGAAUGCCACGCGAAGAAGUCCUUUAACCCCAGAGGGGGUUCUCCGU
This 970-nucleotide ribosomal RNA is filed under the name Alcanivorax sp. RNAcentral describes it as "bacterial SSU rRNA". It matches the Rfam family "Bacterial small subunit ribosomal RNA", at positions 36 to 997 of the family's 1533-position model. The record is from RNAcentral. Lineage: Bacteria; Pseudomonadati; Pseudomonadota; Gammaproteobacteria; Oceanospirillales; Alcanivoracaceae.